RNAcentral lists this ribosomal RNA (720 nucleotides) under Bacillus subtilis. RNAcentral's name for it is "bacterial SSU rRNA". It matches the Rfam family "Bacterial small subunit ribosomal RNA", at positions 44 to 746 of the family's 1533-position model. Lineage: Bacteria; Bacillati; Bacillota; Bacilli; Caryophanales; Bacillaceae. The record is from RNAcentral.
GCUGCUUAUACAUGCAAGUCGAGCGGACAGAUGGGAGCUUGCUCCCUGAUGUUAGCGGCGGACGGGUGAGUAACACGUGGGUAACCUGCCUGUAAGACUGGGAUAACUCCGGGAAACCGGGGCUAAUACCGGAUGGUUGUUUGAACCGCAUGGUUCAAACAUAAAAGGUGGCUUCGGCUACCACUUACAGAUGGACCCGCGGCGCAUUAGCUAGUUGGUGAGGUAACGGCUCACCAAGGCAACGAUGCGUAGCCGACCUGAGAGGGUGAUCGGCCACACUGGGACUGAGACACGGCCCAGACUCCUACGGGAGGCAGCAGUAGGGAAUCUUCCGCAAUGGACGAAAGUCUGACGGAGCAACGCCGCGUGAGUGAUGAAGGUUUUCGGAUCGUAAAGCUCUGUUGUUAGGGAAGAACAAGUACCGUUCGAAUAGGGCGGUACCUUGACGGUACCUAACCAGAAAGCCACGGCUAACUACGUGCCAGCAGCCGCGGUAAUACGUAGGUGGCAAGCGUUGUCCGGAAUUAUUGGGCGUAAAGGGCUCGCAGGCGGUUUCUUAAGUCUGAUGUGAAAGCCCCCGGCUCAACCGGGGAGGGUCAUUGGAGACUGGGGAACUUGAGUGCAGAAGAGGAGAGUGGAAUUCCACGUGUAGCGGUGAAAUGCGUAGAGAUGUGGAGGAACACCAGUGGCGAACGCGACUCUCUGGUCUGUAACUGACGC